GAUGAAGAACGUAGCGAAAUGCGAUACGUAAUGUGAAUUGCAAAUUCAGUGAAUCAUCGAGUCUUUGAACGCACAUUGCGCCCCCUGGUAUUCCGGGGGGCAUGCCUGUCCGAGCGUCAUUGCUGCCCUCAAGCACGGCUUGUGUGUUGGGCCCCGUCCUCCGAUCCCGGGGGACGGGCCCGGAAGGCAGCGGCGGCACCGCGUCCGGUCCUCGAGCGUAUGGGGCUUUGUCACCCGCUCUGUAGGCCCGGCCGGCGCUUGCCGAUCAACCCAAAUUUUUUAUCCAGGUUGACCUCGGAUCAGGUAGGGAUACCCGCUGAACUUAAGCAUAUCAAUAAGCGGAGGA
This 346-nucleotide unclassified non-coding RNA is filed under the name soil metagenome. RNAcentral's name for it is "partial contains 5.8S ribosomal RNA, internal transcribed spacer 2, and large subunit ribosomal RNA". The stretch from base 1 to 119 matches the Rfam family "5.8S ribosomal RNA", at positions 35 to 154 of the family's 154-position model. The record is from RNAcentral.